This 412-nucleotide long non-coding RNA is filed under the name Elaeis guineensis (African oil palm). RNAcentral describes it as "long non-coding RNA (EGUI_LNC077866)". Lineage: Eukaryota; Viridiplantae; Streptophyta; Magnoliopsida; Arecales; Arecaceae. The record is from RNAcentral.
GACUGCAGAUUCCCUCUCCCUCUGGUUUUGCUGGCUCCACAGAUUCAUCAAAUCUACCGUCUCCUACAUCUGGGAAGUAUUUGAUCCUGACUUGUUCACCUCCGAGCUAGCCCCACGUUGCCUUCAUAUACGACAAUCCUCAAUCCUACGUCAGUCAGAGUAUAUCUAGAUUUUUGACAGGGUCUGAACUCACCGAUCUGAAGCUACCAUCGGAAGACCUUAGAAAUGCCCUGUAAUCCUCUAAAAUUUUUAAAUUUUAGGAAUAACAAUUAGGAUUGAGGAAAAAAAAUUUAAUAUUUUGAUUUUUCUUUUGUUUCAGGCCAUGAACAACCUCAUCAGAAAAAUUUUCGGAUUUAGAUAGUAAAUACCUUUACACACACAUACAUAUACAUAUAUACUAUACAUAUAUACA